GAUGAACGCUGGCGGCGUGCCUAAUACAUGCAAGUCGAGCGAACAGACGAGGAGCUUGCUCCUCUGACGUUAGCGGCGGACGGGUGAGUAACACGUGGAUAACCUACCUAUAAGACUGGGAUAACUUCGGGAAACCGGAGCUAAUACCGGAUAAUAUAUUGAACCGCAUGGUUCAAUAGUGAAAGACGGUUUUGCUGUCACUUAUAGAUGGAUCCGCGCCGCAUUAGCUAGUUGGUAAGGUAACGGCUUACCAAGGCAACGAUGCGUAGCCGACCUGAGAGGGUGAUCGGCCACACUGGAACUGAGACACGGUCCAGACUCCUACGGGAGGCAGCAGUAGGGAAUCUUCCGCAAUGGGCGAAAGCUUGACGGAGCAACGCCGCGUGAGUGUUGAAGGUCUUCGGAUCGUAAAACUCUGUUAUUAGGGAAGAACAAAUGUGUAAGUAACUCUGCACGUCUUGACGGUACCUAAUCAGAAAGCCACGGCUAACUACGUG
This 497-nucleotide ribosomal RNA is filed under the name uncultured bacterium. Its description in RNAcentral is "partial 16S ribosomal RNA". It matches the Rfam family "Bacterial small subunit ribosomal RNA", at positions 28 to 507 of the family's 1533-position model. The record is from RNAcentral.